Molecule: small nuclear RNA, 107 nt
Filed under: Salvator merianae (Argentine black and white tegu)
Lineage: Eukaryota; Metazoa; Chordata; Lepidosauria; Squamata; Teiidae
Source: RNAcentral
GUGCUCACUUUGGUAGCACAUAUACUAAAAUUGGAACGAUACAAAAAAGAUUAGCAUGGUCCCUGUGCAAGGAUGACAUGCAAAUUCAUGAAAUUUCUAACAAAUAA